This 564-nucleotide small RNA is filed under the name Pongo abelii (Sumatran orangutan). RNAcentral's name for it is "retained intron". Lineage: Eukaryota; Metazoa; Chordata; Mammalia; Primates; Hominidae. The record is from RNAcentral.
AGGAACCACCCGGGGCCAUGGACGGAGCAGUGAUGGAAGGGCCGCUCUUUUUGCAGAGUCAGCGCUUUGGGACCAAGAGGUGGAGGAAGACCUGGGCCGUGCUCUACCCGGCCAGUCCCCACGGCGUAGCUCGGCUCGAGUUCUUUGACCAUAAGGGGUCGAGCUCUGGGGGUGGCCGAGGGAGCUCGCGCCGCCUGGACUGCAAGGUGAUCCGUCUGGCUGAGUGUGUGAGUGUGGCCCCUGUCACCGUGGAGACCCCCCCUGAGCCCGGCGCCACUGCAUUCCGCCUGGACACUGCUCAGCGCUCGCACCUGCUGGCGGCCGACGCGCCGUCCAGUGCAGCCUGGGUGCAGACGCUGUGCCGAAACGCCUUUCCGGUGAGGAGCUGCGGCGAUGCAGGGUGGGGGCAGUUACCGAGGCAGAGAAAUGGGGCUGGCUCAGACCGACCCCCCCUCCCCGCUGAGGAAAUUAGGGGUUUCUCGAUGCUCUCUGUCUACUACAGAAAGGCAGUUGGACUCUGGCUUCUACUGAUAACCCACCUAAGCUUUCUGCCCUGGAGAUGCU